RNAcentral lists this ribosomal RNA (775 nucleotides) under uncultured Neocallimastigales. Its description in RNAcentral is "partial large subunit ribosomal RNA". It matches the Rfam family "Eukaryotic large subunit ribosomal RNA", at positions 26 to 628 of the family's 3401-position model. Lineage: Eukaryota; Fungi; Neocallimastigomycota; Neocallimastigomycetes; Neocallimastigales. The record is from RNAcentral.
CGCAUCUGUGCAUGCAGCAUAUCAAUAAGCGGAGGAAAAGAAACUAACAAGGAUUCCCCUAGUAACGGCGAGUGAAGCGGGAAGAGCUCAAAUUUGAAAUCUUAAAGGGUUUCCCUUUACGAAUUGUAGUUUAAAGAAGUGUUUUCUGUUGAGGUUUUGGUAAAAGUUCUUUGGAAUAGGACAUCAUAGAGGGUGAGAAUCCCGUAUUUGACCUUUACUUUCAACUUUGUGAUACACUUUCAAAGAGUCGGAUUGUUUGGGAAUGCAGUCCAAAAUGGGUGGUAAAUUUCAUCUAAAGCUAAAUAUUGGCGAGAGACCGAUAGCGAACAAGUACCGUGAGGGAAAGAUGAAAAGAACUUUGAAAAGAGAGUUAAACAGUACGUGAAAUUGUCAAAAGGGAAGCGUUUGACACCAGUGUUGUUUUUCUGAAAAUCAAUUAAAGAACUGUUUAUGCUAAGCUGUUUAGACUUUAUCAGCUAUACUGUUUAGUUUUGAGCUUUUCUUUAAUGCACUUUUCAGUUAACAAGUCAACAUCAAUUUCUUUUGCUGUAAAAAAGCUUGAGGAAGGUGGCUUGAGAUUCGUCUUAAGUGUUUAUAGCCUCUUGCCUAUGCAGUCGGAGAGAUUGAGGUCUGCAGCGUAGAUCCUUCGGGGCUAAAUGCAUUUGUGCUAAGUUAUAGCAUUUUAUAGACAACUUGUUGACUAUGAUUUGUCUUGUAGCUUACUCGCUUAUGUUAUUUUACCUACGCUUAGGAUGUUGAGUCGUAGAGCACGCAG